Molecule: ribosomal RNA, 468 nt
Filed under: uncultured bacterium
Lineage: Bacteria
Description: partial 16S ribosomal RNA
Rfam family: Bacterial small subunit ribosomal RNA
Source: RNAcentral
GACGAACGCUGGCGGCGUGCUUAACACAUGCAAGUCGAACGGAAAGGCCCUGCUUUUGUGGGUUGCUCGAGUGGCGAACGGGUGAGUAACACGUGAGUAACCUGCCCUUGACUUUGGGAUAACUUCAGGAAACUGGGGCUAAUACCGGAUAGGAGCUCCUGCUGCAUGGUGGGGGUUGGAAAGUUUCGGCGGUUGGGGAUGGACUCGCGGCUUAUCAGCUUGUUGGUGGGGUAGUGGCUUACCAAGGCUUUGACGGGUAGCCGGCCUGAGAGGGUGACCGGCCACAUUGGGACUGAGAUACGGCCCAGACUCCUACGGGAGGCAGCAGUGGGGAAUAUUGCACAAUGGGCGGAAGCCUGAUGCAGCAACGCCGCGUGCGGGAUGACGGCCUUCGGGUUGUAAACCGCUUUCGCCUGUGACGAAGAGUGAGUGACGGUAAUGGGUAAAGAAGCACCGGCUAACUACGUG